This is a long non-coding RNA of Lagopus muta (rock ptarmigan), 664 nucleotides long. RefSeq lists it as uncharacterized. Lineage: Eukaryota; Metazoa; Chordata; Aves; Galliformes; Phasianidae. The transcript has 3 exons. The record is from RefSeq and is a predicted model, not a curated record.
GCUCUAUUGGAGUUUUGUGAGUGAGCCCAGGACAGGGCUGUGAUGGCAAGCAGUGCCCCCUGGGCCUGGAUUUUAGCCAUUGACAGUGGCACUCACAGAAAGUCUGAUAAGGAGCAAUUCCUAUUCUGGAAGAGAAAUUUGUGAAUGCUUUGCCAGACGCCUACGCAGCCCUGAUACCAAUCAUGCAGGGUGAGCUGUAAGAAAAUCAAUGCAUCACAUGUGUUGGCAGUUCCAAAAAGGAGAUAGUUACUGAAGUUAGAAAUACCCUAGCUGUAGGUGUGGGUGUUUCUCUCCCUCUCAAUAUUAUGCAGGCUUCCAGGGAAACAAUGGAUUUACCUCAGGGUACAGUUGCAUUGCUACAGAUUCACAUCUGAAGAAGUGCCUUGUGCAAUCUGAUACCCAUCAUUGCUCAAGAUUUGACUGAUUUUGAGAAUCAUCAUUAUAAGCAUCAGGAUUCUGUUUAAAACCAUCUUUCUCUGUGUGUACCCACUCGACAGCUAUUGGAAAUAUAGACCUAUAUAGCACAGUCAACAUACUGGCUUGACAAGAAACUACUUUUGCUAGACUUGGAAGCAUGGAAAGGUAAAGGGUCAAAGGUAGUGGAAACUGGCCUGUGGUUAGCUUUGCUUUGAUAAACUCAGACCAAUGGUAAGAUUGUUUUGAC